GAUGAACGCUGGCGGCGUGCUUAACACAUGCAAGUCGAACGGAAAGGCCCAAGCUUGCUUGGGUACUCGAGUGGCGAACGGGUGAGUAACACGUGGGUGAUCUGCCCUUCACUUCGGGAUAAGCCUGGGAAACUGGGUCUAAUACCGGAUAGGACCACAUUUUGGAUGGUGUGGUGGAAAGUUUUUCGGUGUGGGAUGAGCUCGCGGCCUAUCAGCUUGUUGGUGGGGUAAUGGCCUACCAAGGCGUCGACGGGUAGCCGGCCUGAGAGGGUGUACGGCCACAUUGGGACUGAGAUACGGCCCAGACUCCUACGGGAGGCAGCAGUGGGGAAUAUUGCACAAUGGGCGCAAGCCUGAUGCAGCGACGCCGCGUGGGGGAUGACGGCCUUCGGGUUGUAAACUCCUUUCGCUAGGGACGAAGCGUUUUUGUGACGGUACCUGGAGAAGAAGCACCGGCUAACUACGUG
This 467-nucleotide ribosomal RNA is filed under the name uncultured bacterium. Its description in RNAcentral is "partial 16S ribosomal RNA". It matches the Rfam family "Bacterial small subunit ribosomal RNA", at positions 28 to 507 of the family's 1533-position model. The record is from RNAcentral.